GAGUGAACGCUGGCGGUAGGCCUAACACAUGCAAGUCGAACGGCAGCCCAGUAAGAGCUUGCUCUUACGGGUGGCGAGUGGCGGACGGGUGAGGAAUACAUCGGAAUCUACUUUUUCGUGGGGGAUAACGUAGGGAAACUUACGCUAAUACCGCAUACGACCUACGGGUGAAAGCAGGGGAUCUUCGGACCUUGCGCGAUUGAAUGAGCCGAUGUCGGAUUAGCUAGUUGGCGGGGUAAAGGCCCACCAAGGCGACGAUCCGUAGCUGGUCUGAGAGGAUGAUCAGCCACACUGGAACUGAGACACGGUCCACUCCUACGGGAGGCAGCAGUGGGGAAUAUUGGACAAUGGGCGCAAGCCUGAUCCAGCCAUACCGCGUGGGUGAAGAAGGCCUUCGGGUUGUAAAGCCCUUUUGUUGGGAAAGAAAAGCAGCAGGUUAAUACCCCGCUGUUCUGACGGUACCCAAAGAAUAAGCACCGGCUAACUUCGUG
This 491-nucleotide ribosomal RNA is filed under the name uncultured bacterium. RNAcentral describes it as "partial 16S ribosomal RNA". It matches the Rfam family "Bacterial small subunit ribosomal RNA", at positions 27 to 507 of the family's 1533-position model. The record is from RNAcentral.